RNAcentral lists this ribosomal RNA (754 nucleotides) under Merica sinensis. RNAcentral describes it as "partial 16S ribosomal RNA". The stretch from base 1 to 597 matches the Rfam family "Bacterial large subunit ribosomal RNA", at positions 1803 to 2925 of the family's 2925-position model. The record is from RNAcentral. Lineage: Eukaryota; Metazoa; Mollusca; Gastropoda; Neogastropoda; Cancellariidae.
UUUAUCAAAAACAUGGCUCCUUGUUAUCCUGUAGAUGGGGAGUCGGACCUGCCCGGUGAAAUUAUUUAACGGCCGCGGUACCCUGACCGUGCGAAGGUAGCAUAAUCAUUUGCCUUAUAAUUGAAGGCUUGUAUGAAUGGUUUGACUUGAACAAAGCUGUCUCUUUAUAAUUUUGUAGAAUUUUAUUUUUAGGUGAAGAAGCCUAAAUAAAAUUAAUAGACAAGAAGACCCUGUCGAGCUUUAAAUAAGUUAAUAGAGUUAUAUUAUAAUAUAUAUAAAAAAAAUUUGACUAUUAAAAAUUUUGGUUGGGGCGACUGAGGAACAAAUAAAGCUUCCUAUGUUUAAUAGAUGUUCGCAUAUUGAUCCAAGUUUUUUGAUUGAAGAAAUUAGUUACCGUAGGGAUAACAGCAUUAUUCUCUUUGAGAGUUCUUAUCGAAAAGAGGGUUUGUGACCUCGAUGUUGGACCAGAAUAUCCUAAAGAUGCAGAAGUCUUUAAGGGUUGGUCUGUUCGACCAUUAAAAUUCUACGUGAUCUGAGUUCAGACCGGCGUGAGCCAGGUCAGUUUCUAUCUUUAAUUUUUUGUGCAAGCUUAGUACGAAAGGACCAGUUUGUAGUAUUAAAUACUAUGGAUGAAGAAAUAUAAUUAAUGCUUGUCAGAUUAGCAAAUUUAAUGCAAUUGAUUUAGGUUCAAUAGAUAUAGGUGAAAGUCCUUUAUUUGACAAAAUAAAGAUGGCAGAUUUAGUGCAUUAGGUUU